Molecule: ribosomal RNA, 2373 nt
Filed under: Salmonella enterica subsp. enterica serovar Johannesburg
Lineage: Bacteria; Pseudomonadati; Pseudomonadota; Gammaproteobacteria; Enterobacterales; Enterobacteriaceae
Description: partial 23S ribosomal RNA
Rfam family: Bacterial large subunit ribosomal RNA
Source: RNAcentral
UGGUGGGGUGACUGCGUACCUUUUGUAUAAUGGGUCAGCGACUUAUAUUCUGUAGCAAGGUUAACCGAAUAGGGGAGCCGGAGGGAAACCGAGUCUUAAUUGGGCGUUAAGUUGCAGGGUAUAGACCCGAAACCCGGUGAUCUAGCCAUGGGCAGGUUGAAGGUUGGGUAACACUAACUGGAGGACCGAACCGACUAAUGUUGAAAAAUUAGCGGAUGACCUGUGGCUGGGGGUGAAAGGCCAAUCAAACCGGGAGAUAGCUGGUUCUCCCCGAAAGCUAUUUAGGUAGCGCCUCGUGAAUUCAUCUCCGGGGGUAGAGCACUGUUUCGGCUAGGGGGCCAUCCCGGCUUACCAACCCGAUGCAAACUGCGAAUACCGGAGAAUGUUAUCACGGGAGACACACGGCGGGUGCUAACGUCCGUCGUGAAGAGGGAAACAACCCAGACCGCCAGCUAAGGUCCCAAAGUCAUGGUUAAGUGGGAAACGAUGUGGGAAGGCCCAGACAGCCAGGAUGUUGGCUUAGAAGCAGCCAUCAUUUAAAGAAAGCGUAAUAGCUCACUGGUCGAGUCGGCCUGCGCGGAAGAUGUAACGGGGCUAAACCAUGCACCGAAGCUGCGGCAGCGACGCUGAUGCGUUGUUGGGUAGGGGAGCGUUCUGUAAGCCUGCGAAGGUGUGUCGUGAGGCAUGCUGGAGGUAUCAGAAGUGCGAAUGCUGACAUAAGUAACGAUAAAGCGGGUGAAAAGCCCGCUCGCCGGAAGACCAAGGGUUCCUGUCCAACGUUAAUCGGGGCAGGGUGAGUCGACCCCUAAGGCGAGGCCGAAAGGCGUAGUCGAUGGGAAACGGGUUAAUAUUCCCGUACUUGGUGUUACUGCGAAGGGGGGACGGAGAAGGCUAUGUUGGCCGGGCGACGGUUGUCCCGGUUUAAGCGUGUAGGUGUGUGUUCCAGGUAAAUCCGGUUCACUUUAACACUGAGGCGUGAUGACGAGGCACUACGGUGCUGAAGCAACAAAUGCCCUGCUUCCAGGAAAAGCCUCUAAGCAUCAGGUAACAUCAAAUCGUACCCCAAACCGACACAGGUGGUCAGGUAGAGAAUACCAAGGCGCUUGAGAGAACUCGGGUGAAGGAACUAGGCAAAAUGGUGCCGUAACUUCGGGAGAAGGCACGCUGACACGUAGGUGAAGUGAUUUACUCAUGGAGCUGAAGUCAGUCGAAGAUACCAGCUGGCUGCAACUGUUUAUUAAAAACACAGCACUGUGCAAACACGAAAGUGGACGUAUACGGUGUGACGCCUGCCCGGUGCCGGAAGGUUAAUUGAUGGGGUCAGCGCAAGCGAAGCUCCUGAUCGAAGCCCCGGUAAACGGCGGCCGUAACUAUAACGGUCCUAAGGUAGCGAAAUUCCUUGUCGGGUAAGUUCCGACCUGCACGAAUGGCGUAAUGAUGGCCAGGCUGUCUCCACCCGAGACUCAGUGAAAUUGAACUCGCUGUGAAGAUGCAGUGUACCCGCGGCAAGACGGAAAGACCCCGUGAACCUUUACUAUAGCUUGACACUGAACAUUGAGCCUUGAUGUGUAGGAUAGGUGGGAGGCUUUGAAGUGUGGACGCCAGUCUGCAUGGAGCCGGCCUUGAAAUACCACCCUUUAAUGUUUGAUGUUCUAACGUGGACCCGUGAUCCGGGUUGCGGACAGUGUCUGGUGGGUAGUUUGACUGGGGCGGUCUCCUCCUAAAGAGUAACGGAGGAGCACGAAGGUUGGCUAAUCCUGGUCGGACAUCAGGAGGUUAGUGCAAUGGCAUAAGCCAGCUUGACUGCGAGCGUGACGGCGCGAGCAGGUGCGAAAGCAGGUCAUAGUGAUCCGGUGGUUCUGAAUGGAAGGGCCAUCGCUCAACGGAUAAAAGGUACUCCGGGGAUAACAGGCUGAUACCGCCCAAGAGUUCAUAUCGACGGCGGUGUUUGGCACCUCGAUGUCGGCUCAUCACAUCCUGGGGCUGAAGUAGGUCCCAAGGGUAUGGCUGUUCGCCAUUUAAAGUGGUACGCGAGCUGGGUUUAGAACGUCGUGAGACAGUUCGGUCCCUAUCUGCCGUGGGCGCUGGAGAACUGAGGGGGGCUGCUCCUAGUACGAGAGGACCGGAGUGGACGCAUCACUGGUGUUCGGGUUGUCAUGCCAAUGGCACUGCCCGGUAGCUAAAUGCGGAAGAGAUAAGUGCUGAAAGCAUCUAAGCACGAAACUUGCCCCGAGAUGAGUUCUCCCUGAGACUUAGAGUCUCCUGAAGGAACGUUGAAGACGACGACGUUGAUAGGCCGGGUGUGUAAGCGCAGCGAUGCGUUGAGCUAACCGGUACUAAUGAACCGUGAGGCUUAACCUUACAACGCCGAAG